CCAAAUCCUGUUCCCAGACCGCGGUCACUCAGCUUAGCUUCAAACUACCUCUCUCACUUGCUUUGAGACCAGCAGUUACUGUUCCAAGGGGGCAGCGGAGAGUGUCUGAGUCACAAAGGAACUCUGGGCUUGAAAUUCAACGAGCAAGAGCCACCUGAAAUUACUGCAAGUGGCCACAAGAGGGCGCUACUUGACACCACUUCAGAGAAAUCGCAUUCAAGCAAAGAUUGGUAGCUGGCCUGUACUGAGAGGCUCGGUUAUUUCUCAGGAAGCCGUGGGUUCCAUCCCCAGCACCAGCAUGAUAGUUCCAGCGCGG
This is a long non-coding RNA of Mastomys coucha (southern multimammate mouse), 316 nucleotides long. RefSeq lists it as uncharacterized. The record is from RefSeq and is a predicted model, not a curated record. Lineage: Eukaryota; Metazoa; Chordata; Mammalia; Rodentia; Muridae. The transcript has 3 exons.